UAUGAUGCUUUUAUAUACCGCCCCAGUCGGAAGAACAUUGUCGAUUGGUUUUAUAUUCUGAUU
RNAcentral lists this small nucleolar RNA (63 nucleotides) under Drosophila ananassae. RNAcentral's name for it is "snoRNA:GF26105". The record is from RNAcentral. Lineage: Eukaryota; Metazoa; Arthropoda; Insecta; Diptera; Drosophilidae.